CUCGUUUUGUGUGUGUCCUUCUCGCUUCUGCUCGUCCUCCUACUCGGCAUCAUCUCGGUCUGGUGAGCAUGUACACACACACACACACACACGCACACACACGGAGAGAGAGACAGACAUCCAAAGGCACACCCGCUGACCUGGAGAAGCCCACUGUGCCGUCAUUGCUUUCCUCGUCUCCCUUCCCUUUCCCUAUGCGCUCAGUUUGGUGUCUUGCGCAUUGAUGUGUGUAUAUGUGUAUGUCGGUGCUUGUGCGUGCGUGUGUGUGCGCGUUCUUCCGUCAAUGAGAAACGUGUGCGCCCUAUCCCCUUUGUUCAGUUUCCGUCAUCCCUCGUGGUACACGUGCCGCCCCCUGUCGCGUGCGCUCGCCUGCUCUCUCUCUCUGCCUGUCUGUUUUCUUCUGUUGUUGCUUGCUGCCUUCUUUUGUUUUACCCCACCCUUUUUUUUUCUUCGUUUGUUUUUUUUUUCGCGCUCAGUGAGUUGCUGCGCGACUCUCUGUGCGUGUGUGCGCCUCUUCUGUGUGCGUGUGUGUCGUCAUCUGAGCUUCUUCGCGCUACGCAGCGUCCUUUCUCUUGCCACUGUCCCCUCCCCCGUCUGCUCUGAAUUCUUUCCACGGCGUUUGAGUGAGCCUGUGAGCAUCUCUCACGAUGGCACUUUCGAGCGCACUGCACGUGCGCCGUUCCUCCGUCUCUCGCAUCCUUUCUUUGCUGUUUUGCUGCUGUUGCUCUCUCUCUCUCGAUGCACUUCGCCAGAUGCCUGACUACGGGCACAUUGGUAGGCCGUCAGCUUCCUACCCGUCCACCCCACUUCCUGAAAGUUGCGCGUGAAUUCGUGUGCCCUUUUCGCUUCACUGGACGAUCGUGCUCUCUCUCUGAACCACUGGCCGAGGGUGUACGAUGCGCGAGCACCAUCGUCUGUGUGGCGUGCGGAUGUGGAGGUGGGCGGGGUGGAUUGGCGGCUAUGCGAGAGAAGGAAAAAAAAAGCAGAUGCGAUGCGGUGGUGACGGAGGCGGAAGUAGCAGUUAUGCUGUUCACUGGCGCGAUAAAUUAGAAAGCGUUUUUCAACCUCACCCUUUGCCUGUGCCUAACUAUUCGAGUGAGAGAGAGACACGCCCAGGAGUGCUGGAUGCUGUCGUUGGUGGACGCUGGUGAAGAGGAGGAACAAGAGAAUUGAAGUGCGGGGGCCGAGAAGAAGGGGCAAUAUUGUCGACACAGCCAGAAAGGUGAUUGUAAGACACAUACACGCAAUACUCCCCCAGCCCGCGUUCGGCCCACUCACACACACACACACACAAACACACAGACACACACACAAGCGCAGAGGAGUGGGUACUCUCGAAAACCGAAGAGACACGUGAAAUAGGAUGCACCCGGAAUCGGCAAAGCCCCCCUUUCCUCCCUUCCUCCCUUCACUCACAGGUUUGCGAUUGAAAAAGUCAUGCGAGUUGCGAGGCAGAAGGAAAAAAGGUGCAGGAGAACGACACGACUGUAAGGAAAACAUGGGCUCUAACACGCGCACACACACACACACAUACACAUAGAGAGAUGGAAAGCGGACGAAGUUCGAGGAAACCAGUCUAUCGGGCCGAUCUCCUCCACGCCUUUUUCUUGCCGUUAUCGACACGCAUGUACGGCGAACCUCUUGCUCUUUCAGUGGCCUGUCAGACGCACGCCGUUUCACUAUGUCUCCGAGUCCCUGUGUUGGUGCGUCUCGUUCUCCUGCGUAGCUGACGUCCCUGUAUGCCUUUUUUUUUGUUUAAACGCCCCGUGAAGGCGCGAAAGCAGAACAAGGGUGGACAGGACGCACACGCAUGAAUAUAUAUAUAUGUGCAAACAUAGGCGUAUAUAUGUAUGGAUACACGUCUAUAUGUUUGUAUACAUAACCACCAACGAAAAUAUCAAGAGCCAAAAAAGAGGGAAAAAGAGGAAAAUAAAAGAGCAAAACAAGGGAGAAACAGGAGAGCUCAUCUUGUCCGUUGCGGUGUACGUUUACGCAUGUCCAUGCGCGUAUGUAUUUACGUGUACGUGUUUUUUUGUGUGUGAUGUCUCUCUCUCUCUUCAUUGACUUAUGGUUGGUUGUUGGCGCUUCUUCUUGUUUUUUUUUCUUUUUCGUAUUUUGUAUGGGCGUCAAAGAGAAAGGGCGAGGAAAAAGGCAAAAAAGGAAAAAAAAAGAAAUCAAACACCGACACACACACACACACACACACCGAGACGCACACGCACGUACCGACACGGACGCGCACACGUAUACAACCAUACGCAAAAAAAAUGAAGUGAAGGCUGUUCCAGAUAAUGUGAGGGGGGGGGGCAAAGCAACAGAAAGCGCACACGCUGAACACAUGUACGCCACCAACAACAAUACUGAUGGGCUUUUUUUUUUUGGUUUGUCUGUCUGUGUGUGUGUGUGUGCGAUUCUUGUGCCCUUUCUCUUUGUUUCUGUCUUUACGGAUGUGCUGUCCUCCCCCUUCUUGUUUUUUUUUCCUUUCUUUCGCUCUGCCGGGGAGGUUUCCUUUUCUUCACACACUCAUUCAUACGCACACAGGUGCGCAUUGAUGGAUUAUCUGUUUGUUUUUUUAUUUUUUAUUUUGCUGUCAGUUCGUGCUGGUUGCUGUGCAGGCUUGUCUCUUCGACUGUGCCUAUAUCUCGCCUGCGUUCUGUUAGGCCGCAAAAUCCACACACAAGAGAGUCGAAUGCCUUGUGCGCUGUGCAAGAGGCGCUCCGUGGCCACAUCAGCAGAGAGUAAUAGAGAAAGAAAGCAUCGCAGCAGGUGUGGCCGGUAUCAUGCGUCGAUGUGAAUCAUUCAACUGCGUUGUGUACCGUGUGUGUGUGUCUGUGUGCUUUCUUUCUCCGGUUUAUUUAUUUUUUUUUGGCAUUUCUGUGUCUGUUUCACUUUAAAAGUGCGGCACGCGUUUCUUUCGCUUUUUUUUCGAUUGAGUCCUUGUCACGGUAAUUCGUUGUUUUGUCGUUUCUGCGCGGUAUUGUGUGUGUGUGUGUGUGUGCCUGCGUCCAUGUGCGUUGUUUGUUUGUCUUUGUGUGUGCGCGCGUUUUUCUUUGGCUGGUCUCCUCGCCCCUUCCUCUCCUUUUCUCUCCUCUCCUGCCCCCCUCCCCCUUUUCAUGGUUGGAUCAGUCUUUCAUUCAGCAGCGGCGUUGGUUCCACAUUCAAAACGCGUCGUGAACAAGUGCACAAGAAGGCAAGGAGACGAAGAAAAGAAGGCGACGUCGUACCUGUGUGAGUCACGGAGUUCCAGCGCCUUCUACGACGUUAAGCGACGGAUACCCAGGAAGGAGGCAGUGCACAACAAAACGAAAGAACUCAGAACAAACCCGCCCCUAGGCUGUAUCUCUCUUCUUUUUCUUAAGUAACCGUGUGCGCUUCUACUCUCUGUCCCUCUUCAGAAGUAGUGAUGGUGAUGCUGAUGAAGGUAUCGCCUCACGCCGAACCAGUGCAGACGGUAAGGCGCACGCACAUCAACAUGAGGACAACAAAAAUGAACAAUGAGCACGCGCGCUUCUUCUUGACUUG
RNAcentral lists this unclassified non-coding RNA (3522 nucleotides) under Leishmania donovani. Its description in RNAcentral is "gene:unknown". Lineage: Eukaryota; Euglenozoa; Kinetoplastea; Trypanosomatida; Trypanosomatidae. The record is from RNAcentral.